AUACUUACCUGUAGGGGAGAUAUCAUGAUCAUGAAGGUGGUUUCCCAAGGCCAGGUUUAUCCACGGAACUCCAGAUGUGCUGACCCCUAUCAUUUCCCCAGAUGUGGGAAAAUCAACUGUAUCAUUUGUGGUCGUGGGGGAUUGUGCACUCACUUUCUCCUG
This 162-nucleotide small nuclear RNA is filed under the name Myotis davidii. RNAcentral describes it as "U1 spliceosomal RNA". It matches the Rfam family "U1 spliceosomal RNA". From Rfam's summary of the family: U1 is a small nuclear RNA (snRNA) component of the spliceosome (involved in pre-mRNA splicing). Its 5' end forms complementary base pairs with the 5' splice junction, thus defining the 5' donor site of an intron. The record is from Rfam by way of RNAcentral. Lineage: Eukaryota; Metazoa; Chordata; Mammalia; Chiroptera; Vespertilionidae.